AUUGAACGCUGGCGGCAGGCCUAACACAUGCAAGUCGAAUGGUAACAGGAAACAGCUUGCUGUUUCGCUGACGAGUGGCGGACGGGUGAGUAAUGUCUGGGAAACUGCUUGAUGGAGGGGGAUAACUACUGGAAACGGUAGCUAAUACCGCAUAACGUCUCAAGACCAAAGAGGGGGACCUUCGGGCCUUUUUCCAUCAGAUGUUCCCAGAUGGGACUAGGUAGUAGGUGGGGGAACGGCUCACCUAGGCGACAAUCCCUAGCUGGUCUGAGAGGUUGACCGGCCACACUGGAACUGAGACACGGUCCAGACUCCUACGGGAGGCAGCAGUGGGGAAUAUUGCACAAUGGGCGAAAGCCUGAUGCAGCCAUGCCGCGUGUAUGAAGAAGGCCUUCGGGUUGUAAAGUACUUUCAGCGGGGAGGAAGGGAGUAAAGUUAAUACCUUUGCUCAUUGACGUUACCCGCAGAAGAAGCACCGGCUAACUCCGUG
Molecule: ribosomal RNA, 490 nt
Filed under: uncultured bacterium
Lineage: Bacteria
Description: partial 16S ribosomal RNA
Rfam family: Bacterial small subunit ribosomal RNA
Source: RNAcentral